UACUCGGGGAUGGGAGGCAAGGGUGGGGGUGCAGGAAAGAGAGUAAAAAGAGAGACGGGUGGUGAAGGAUUGAAGAGACCAUGGGGGUGGGGGUGCCAAGACAACAAGGGAGGAUCUAGGACGUUGACAGGUACUUGAGACAAGGCGACCUGGGAGAGUGCCUGCUGGGAGUCCUUAGGAGAGGCGAAGCACCUGCUACUACUGUGUAACACACUCCAACAUAGCCCCCGGGACGGGCUCGGCGCUGGGGUAUGGAGGCUAGGAAGUGAGAAGAAACUCGAGGUUGCAGCAGAGAGCUAGCUGACCUUCAGUUAACAGAAGCAAGGGAGACCGCAGUGCCCACCAGACCAUGCACCACAAAAACCAUGGGACAAGGACCAAUGCUAAAGAUCACACCAAGGGAGACGUGAGCAGCACCUGCAUCCAGAGUUUUGGCCAGAUGGAGAGAGAGAUGUUGAUAAGAACACUUGACCUAGAGGAAUGGACAUGAUGACUGAAUUAAGAUCCCAUUUAGAUAAAUCACAAUUUCAAAAUAGAACCUUAUACCUCUCUUUUCAUCAUUGACUGGCUUUGUGACCCUGAAAGGAAGAAUGAAGAAACAGAGAGGGGAAUGUCAAUGCCACAAAAUCACAGGGCCAGAAGGUACCUCAGAGACCACUCGGUCCAACUCAUAAAUGAACAAGAAUUCCCUCUACAAUCUGCCCAUCAAGUGUUAUCCAGCCUCUGCUUAAAGACUUCCAUUCAGGGGGAACCCCCUUCCUUGAAAGGCUGCCCAUUCCAUGUUGAUCCCAUACCCUCCCAUCUUCUCCAACAGAUUGGAUACUUUUUCUAUCUUUAAUAUUCAAUAUCUCUCUAGUGGUAGCUACUAUUACCCAACUACAAACACAACCAUGUCAACAUCCUUU
This is a long non-coding RNA of Phascolarctos cinereus (koala), 905 nucleotides long. RefSeq lists it as uncharacterized. The record is from RefSeq and is a predicted model, not a curated record. NCBI's taxonomy places the organism in Eukaryota, Metazoa, Chordata, Mammalia, Diprotodontia, Phascolarctidae.